CUCACAAGAGUCUCUGCAGCUUCCGGUCUCUUGGAAUACUUGCUUUUUGUGCCCUGAAUUACCAUGUAAGAAGUCCAACUCCUCUGUGACUACCACGCUUGAGGAAAGCCAAGCUAGCUACAUGGAGAGGUCACAAGGAAAGGGACAUUUCCAAACAGCGCUCAGCUGUCUGCUACCCCAGCCCGAGAGCCAGACAGGGUUGCCGUCCUUAAGGAUCAAGCUUUAUUGUUGGUGUGUCCUCCCAGAUGACUACAGACUCUGCUCACAGGAAGAACCUGGCACCAGUUAUUUUCCCUGCUGGCCUCAAUCAAGGCUCCUCUCAACUGCCAGAAGAGGCUAACACAACAUUGUAAAGCAAUUAUCCUCCAACUGCAAAGAGAGAGACAGACUCACCAUGCACAAGUUAGCGGCAUCCCUGGUCCAGCCUACUUACUGUGUCAUCACCAGAAAGACCCACAAGGAACACAGACUGGAAUUCCAACAAGGUCAGAAGCCACUGUCAGGCUACCUUCAGGGGAUGAUCAUGGGACUUCAGCAAUGCCUGAGAUUAGACCUGAUCUAGCCAACUGAAGAUCUCUAGCUUCCCUUAGCAGCUGAGCCGAGCUGAUACCUCCUGCCUCCUCCAGCCUCUCGUGCAUGUCUUCCAGCUCUCGGACGAGGUCAGCUCUCUCCCUCUCUACCUUGGCUCGAGUGGUCGUUUCAGUUUCCA
Long non-coding RNA from Dama dama (fallow deer), 709 nucleotides. RefSeq lists it as uncharacterized. The transcript has 4 exons. The record is from RefSeq and is a predicted model, not a curated record. Lineage: Eukaryota; Metazoa; Chordata; Mammalia; Artiodactyla; Cervidae.